Molecule: ribosomal RNA, 1509 nt
Filed under: Curtobacterium pusillum
Lineage: Bacteria; Bacillati; Actinomycetota; Actinomycetes; Micrococcales; Microbacteriaceae
Description: 16S ribosomal RNA
Rfam family: Bacterial small subunit ribosomal RNA
Source: RNAcentral
GUUUGAUCCUGGCUCAGGACGAACGCUGGCGGCGUGCUUAACACAUGCAAGUCGAACGAUGAUGCCCAGCUUGCUGGGUGGAUUAGUGGCGAACGGGUGAGUAACACGUGAGUAACCUGCCCCUGACUCUGGGAUAAGCGUUGGAAACGACGUCUAAUACUGGAUAUGAUCACUGGCCGCAUGGUCUGGUGGUGGAAAGAUUUUUUGGUUGGGGAUGGACUCGCGGCCUAUCAGCUUGUUGGUGAGGUAAUGGCUCACCAAGGCGACGACGGGUAGCCGGCCUGAGAGGGUGACCGGCCACACUGGGACUGAGACACGGCCCAGACUCCUACGGGAGGCAGCAGUGGGGAAUAUUGCACAAUGGGCGAAAGCCUGAUGCAGCAACGCCGCGUGAGGGAUGACGGCCUUCGGGUUGUAAACCUCUUUUAGUAGGGAAGAAGCGAGAGUGACGGUACCUGCAGAAAAAGCACCGGCUAACUACGUGCCAGCAGCCGCGGUAAUACGUAGGGUGCAAGCGUUGUCCGGAAUUAUUGGGCGUAAAGAGCUCGUAGGCGGUUUGUCGCGUCUGCUGUGAAAUCCCGAGGCUCAACCUCGGGCUUGCAGUGGGUACGGGCAGACUAGAGUGCGGUAGGGGAGAUUGGAAUUCCUGGUGUAGCGGUGGAAUGCGCAGAUAUCAGGAGGAACACCGAUGGCGAAGGCAGAUCUCUGGGCCGUAACUGACGCUGAGGAGCGAAAGCGUGGGGAGCGAACAGGAUUAGAUACCCUGGUAGUCCACGCCGUAAACGUUGGGCGCUAGAUGUAGGGACCUUUCCACGGUUUCUGUGUCGUAGCUAACGCAUCAAGCGCCCCGCCUGGGGAGUACGGCCGCAAGGCUAAAACUCAAAGGAAUUGACGGGGGCCCGCACAAGCGGCGGAGCAUGCGGAUUAAUUCGAUGCAACGCGAAGAACCUUACCAAGGCUUGACAUACACCGGAAACGGCCAGAGAUGGUCGCCCCCUUGUGGUCGGUGUACAGGUGGUGCAUGGUUGUCGUCAGCUCGUGUCGUGAGAUGUUGGGUUAAGUCCCGCAACGAGCGCAACCCUCGUUCUAUGUUGCCAGCGCGUUAUGGCGGGGACUCAUAGGAGACUGCCGGGGUCAACUCGGAGGAAGGUGGGGAUGACGUCAAAUCAUCAUGCCCCUUAUGUCUUGGGCUUCACGCAUGCUACAAUGGCCGGUACAAAGGGCUGCGAUACCGUAAGGUGGAGCGAAUCCCAAAAAGCCGGUCUCAGUUCGGAUUGAGGUCUGCAACUCGACCUCAUGAAGUCGGAGUCGCUAGUAAUCGCAGAUCAGCAACGCUGCGGUGAAUACGUUCCCGGGCCUUGUACACACCGCCCGUCAAGUCAUGAAAGUCGGUAACACCCGAAGCCGGUGGCCUAACCCUAGUGGAAGGAGCCGUCGAAGGUGGGAUCGGUGAUUAGGACUAAGUCGUAACAAGGUAGCCGUACCGGAAGGUGCGGCUGGAUCACCUCC